This 251-nucleotide ribosomal RNA is filed under the name uncultured bacterium. Its description in RNAcentral is "partial 16S ribosomal RNA". It matches the Rfam family "Bacterial small subunit ribosomal RNA", at positions 109 to 353 of the family's 1533-position model. The record is from RNAcentral.
AGUAACGCGUGAGUAACCUGCCUUUCUAGAGGGGGAGUAACGUUCUGAAAAGAAACGCUAAUACCGCAUGAGACUACAGAGCUGCAUGGCUCAGUGGUCAAAGGAGCAAUCCGCUGAAAGAUGGACUCGCGUCCGAUUAGAUAGUAGGCGGGGUAACGGCCCACCUAGCCGACGAUCGGUAGCCGGACUGAGAGGUUGAACGGCCACAUUGGGACUGAGACACGGCCCAGACUCCUACGGGAGGCAGCAUG